GGAGUUGAGAGCAGCCCAGGUGAGCGGUGUGACCUGUGACUCUGAAGACGCGGAGGACUCAGAUGACAUGUUGGACUUCCCAGGAGCAGAGAAGUUACUAUCUAAGCAAUCGCAAGGUCUGGAUGCUGAUUCGCCGGCUGAGGGCACCUCUCAAGAGAAUCCUGCCAUGGUAGAGCAGCUUCGCAGAAAAGUAGAGGAAAUUACCUCCCAGAAUGCCGACCUGGUUCUCAAAGUGCAGAUGCUGGAAAUGUUUGAGAAGGAUGACACGGAUAUGCAGAGCUCGGGCCCAGAUUUUGUUCCCACAGCUCAGUAUGAAUCUUUAAGGAGAGAGUUUGAGGAACUACAGGAGAAAUACUCAAGAGCCCAGGCUUCAACUGAAGCCUCAAGCAUCGCAGAGGAUCAUGGGUAAUAUGGUUAAAAUGAGAUCAGACUAAUAUUUUAUCAAUCUUUUUCU
RNAcentral lists this long non-coding RNA (454 nucleotides) under Sinocyclocheilus grahami. RNAcentral describes it as "lncRNA (ENSSGRG00000000552.1)". The record is from RNAcentral. Lineage: Eukaryota; Metazoa; Chordata; Actinopteri; Cypriniformes; Cyprinidae.